RNAcentral lists this microRNA precursor (98 nucleotides) under Ailuropoda melanoleuca (giant panda). RNAcentral's name for it is "mir-544 microRNA precursor family". It matches the Rfam family "mir-544 microRNA precursor family". The record is from Rfam by way of RNAcentral. Lineage: Eukaryota; Metazoa; Chordata; Mammalia; Carnivora; Ursidae.
AUCACCUGGAGAUAAUGUUAAAAUGCAGAUUCUGAUUCAGUGACUCUGGGGUUCAACGGAAGAUUCUGCAUUUCUAGCAAGAUCCCAAGUGAUGCUGA